Molecule: ribosomal RNA, 237 nt
Filed under: uncultured bacterium
Lineage: Bacteria
Description: partial 16S ribosomal RNA
Rfam family: Bacterial small subunit ribosomal RNA
Source: RNAcentral
AAGCAAAUCCCAAAAAUAAACGUCUCAGUUCGGAUUGUAGUCUGCAACUCGACUACAUGAAGCUGGAAUCGCUAGUAAUCGCAGAUCAGAAUGCUGCGGUGAAUACGUUCCCGGGUCUUGUACACACCGCCCGUCAAACCAUGAGAGCUGGCAACACCCGAAGUCGGUAGUCUAACCGCAAGGAGGACGCCGCCGAAGGUGGGGUUGAUGAUUAGGGUUAAGUCGUAACAAGGUACC